CCUACGGGUGGCAGCAGUGGGGAAUAUUGCACAAUGGGGGAAACCCUGAUGCAGCAAUGCCGCGUGAAGGAUGAAGGUUUUCGGAUUGUAAACUUCUUUUGUACGGGACAAAGAAAGUGACGGUACCGUAAGAAUAAGCCACGGCUAACUACGUGCUAGCAGCCGCGGUAAUACGUAGGUGGCAAGCGUUAUUCGGAUUUACGGGGUGUAAAGGGCGAGUAGGAGGGAUUGCAAGUCAGAUGUGAAAACUAUGGGCUCAACCGAUAGAGGGCAUGUGAUACUGCAGUUCUUGAGUGAUGGAGAGGCAGGCGGAAUGCCCGGUGUAGCGGUGGAAUGCGUAGAUAGCGGGAGGAACACCAGUGGCGAAGGCGGGCUGCUGGACAUUAACUGACGCUGAGGCGCGAAGGCGUGGGGAGCGAACAGGAUUAGAUACCCUAGUAGUC
This 443-nucleotide ribosomal RNA is filed under the name uncultured bacterium. Its description in RNAcentral is "partial 16S ribosomal RNA". It matches the Rfam family "Bacterial small subunit ribosomal RNA", at positions 338 to 795 of the family's 1533-position model. The record is from RNAcentral.